AUGUGAGCCGAAUCAGACAUUUACACAGACGCUCUGUUGUCCACAACAGUGUGUGAGUGUCUGUAAGGCUGAAGGUGUCCGUUGACUGCACUCCUCUGAGGAAAGUCUGCUUCACAAAGAGAGGAGAUUCAAACUGACAGAGAGGCGACUCAGAAAGUAAAGGAUCUGAACUGUCCAUCUUCCAUCCAGUUGUGUCCAACUUUUGCCAAAGCAAGCAAGAAAGAGUCAUGGGAAAAGGUGAGAGCGAGGAGUGGAACGAAAAGCACCCGGAUACGAGGCAAACUCAGCCCCGGAGACACUCGGACGACAAAGGGAGCGACAGCUCUAAGAGCAGCUGCCCCACGUGCUGCCUGAAGACCAGAGACUGCCUGAUGAGUCCGGAGUGCGGCCGGGCACUGCAGAUCUCCAGCGUCGUCGCCUUCUGUGGAAUGUGUUUCGGCCAGUUGUUCUAACUGAGCCAUGGAUGCCAUGACCAACUAUUCUGCUCUAUGUCAAUAUAAAGUACCAGCCAGCUUCCUGCAGGAAAGUCAAGCUGUAUAGUUCUCUUCAAAUCAAGGAUGAAAAACACUUACUUCCAUCAGUUCUCUUUAAUCAUCAUUCCACAAGUUCUUAAAGAUAAUUAAGAUGUUUCUGAGAAGACGUGUAGAUAAAACCAACUGGAAAGUGAUUAUUUAUAAAGAAUCAAUUGCACAUAUGGACAAAGGGACGUAAAAAUGAAGGUGACUUUAACCUGCAUAUUAAGAGGUUUAAUUUUGAAGCCUUUUUAUAUUUUUUGUAAGACCUAAGUUAUAAUUGUAAUACGGUAAUAUCACAUUAUUAAAAAGGAGAAAAGAAAAAAAAACUGCGUGUGGAAGAAUAAAUAUGAUGGGAUCCAAAGAAGACAAUGGGAAAAACCUGAAAUAAAGCUUGUAACAAGGUCAAA
This is a long non-coding RNA of Mugil cephalus (flathead mullet), 922 nucleotides long. RefSeq lists it as uncharacterized. NCBI's taxonomy places the organism in Eukaryota, Metazoa, Chordata, Actinopteri, Mugiliformes, Mugilidae. The record is from RefSeq and is a predicted model, not a curated record. The transcript has 3 exons.